This 374-nucleotide ribosomal RNA is filed under the name uncultured bacterium. RNAcentral's name for it is "bacterial SSU rRNA". It matches the Rfam family "Bacterial small subunit ribosomal RNA", at positions 524 to 896 of the family's 1533-position model. The record is from RNAcentral.
CACGAACCGUCCAAACGUUAUUCGGAAUCAUUGGGCUUAAAGGGUGCGUAGGCGGCGCCUUAAGUCGGGUGUGAAAUCCCUCGGCUCAACCGAGGAAUUGCGCCCGAUACUGGGGUGCUCGAGGGAGACAGGGGUGAGCGGAACUGAUGGUGGAGCGGUGAAAUGCGUUGAUAUCAUCAGGAACACCGGUGGCGAAAGCGGCUCACUGGGUCUCUUCUGACGCUGAGGCACGAAAGCCAGGGUAGCGAACGGGAUUAGAUACCCCGGUAGUCCUGGCCGUAAACGAUGAGCACUGGGUCGAGGACUCCCCCAUAGGUUCUCGGCCGUAGCGAAAGUGUUAAGUGCUCCGCCUGGGGAGUAUGGUCGCAAGGCUG